UACGUAGGGGGCAAGCGUUGUCCGGAAUCAUUGGGCGUAAAGAGCGCGUAGGCGGCCCAGUAAGUCCGCUGUGAAAGUCGGGGGCUCAACCCUCGGAUGCCGGUGGAUACUGUCGGGCUAGAGUACGGAAGAGGCGAGUGGAAUUCCUGGUGUAGCGGUGAAAUGCGCAGAUAUCAGGAAGAACACCCGUGGCGAAGGCGGCUCUCUGGGACGGUACUGACGCUGAGACGCGAAAGCGUGGGGAGCGAACAGG
This 253-nucleotide ribosomal RNA is filed under the name uncultured bacterium. RNAcentral's name for it is "partial 16S ribosomal RNA". It matches the Rfam family "Bacterial small subunit ribosomal RNA", at positions 524 to 776 of the family's 1533-position model. The record is from RNAcentral.